RNAcentral lists this ribosomal RNA (507 nucleotides) under uncultured bacterium. Its description in RNAcentral is "bacterial SSU rRNA". It matches the Rfam family "Bacterial small subunit ribosomal RNA", at positions 19 to 518 of the family's 1533-position model. The record is from RNAcentral.
CUGGCUCAGGAUAAACGCUGGCGGCGUGCUUAGCACAUGCAAGUCGAACGGAGUACUCUCCCGAGACCGAGGAAGCUGCUCAAGAAUCAUUGAAGUACUUAGUGGCGGACGGGUGAGUAACGCGUGGGUAACCUGCCUCACACAGGGGGAUAACAGUUGGAAACGACUGUUAAUACCGCAUAAGCGCACAGUAUCGCAUGGUACAGUGUGAAAAACUCCGGUGGUGUGAGAUGGACCCGCGUCUGAUUAGCUAGUUGGUGAGGUAACGGCCCACCAAGGCGACGAUCAGUAGCCGGCCUGAGAGGGUGUACGGCCACAUUGGGACUGAGACACGGCCCAAACUCCUACGGGAGGCAGCAGUGGGGAAUAUUGCACAAUGGGGGAAACCCUGAUGCAGCGACGCCCGCGCGAGUGAUGAAGUAUCUCGGUAUGUAAAGCCCUAUCAGCAGGGAAGAUAAUGACGGUACCUGACUAAGAAGCACCGGCUAAAUACGUGCCAGCCGCUGC